CUACACAUGCAAGUCGAACGAACUCUUCGGAGUUAGUGGCGGACGGGUGAGUAACACGUGGGAACGUGCCUUUAGGUUCGGAAUAACUCAGGGAAACUUGUGCUAAUACCGAAUGUGCCCUUCGGGGGAAAGAUUUAUCGCCUUUAGAGCGGCCCGCGUCUGAUUAGCUAGUUGGUAAGGUAAUGGCUUACCAAGGCUACGAUCAGUAGCUGGUCUGAGAGGAUGACCAGCCACAUUGGGACUGAGACACGGCCCAAACUCCUACGGGAGGCAGCAGUGGGGAAUCUUGCGCAAUGGGCGAAAGCCUGACGCAGCCAUGCCGCGUGUAUGAUGAAGGUCUUAGGAUUGUAAAAUACUUUCACCGGUGAAGAUAAUGACUGUAGCCGGAGAAGAAGCCCCGGCUAACUUCGUGCCAGCAGCCGCGGUAAUACGAAGGGGGCUAGCGUUGCUCGGAAUUACUGGGCGUAAAGGGAGCGUAGGCGGACAUUUAAGUCAGAGGUGAAAUCCCGGAGCUUAACUUCGGAACUGCCUUUGAUACUGGGUGUCUUGAGUGUGAGAGAGGUAUGUGGAACUCCGAGUGUAGAGGUGAAAUUCGUAGAUAUUCGGAAGAACACCAGUGGCGAAGGCGACAUACUGGCUCAUUACUGACGCUGAGGCUCGAAAGCGUGGGGAGCAAACAGGAUUAGAUACCCUGGUAGUCCACGCCGU
This 708-nucleotide ribosomal RNA is filed under the name bacterium 204_oclvp480. RNAcentral describes it as "bacterial SSU rRNA". It matches the Rfam family "Bacterial small subunit ribosomal RNA", at positions 49 to 803 of the family's 1533-position model. RNAcentral also lists the same sequence under 1 other name. The record is from RNAcentral.